UUCUUCACUCCCUUUUGAUUUCAAUUUUAGCUUUCCAUUUUCCUUUUAAAAUCAUUCAAAGUUCAAACCCUAAUAAUGAUUUGAUUUUUGAAUCAUAACUAUUCGACAUCAAUUCAAUAUCUAACCAUAAUCAACCCUAGCACUUAAACCCUCACUUUCAUUUUUUUUGUCGCAAAUCCCUAAUCGUGAAUCUGAAAUUGGUUGUUCUAUUGAUCUGUUCCGCUACUACGCAAUUUAUAAUUUUGCAAUCGCUCAUUCUGCUGCUUGGAAAUCUGCAGUUUUGUAGUCGACAUUUCAGGGGUUGUACAGAGACUUGAUCUUUCUAAGUCAAAAGCUUCAGUUCUAUCAUCUUCGAUUAGGAGAUAGUAUGCUGGUGCAAUUUUCUUGUGGGUGUUUCAAUGUUUUCAUUCGGUCUAAAAGAAGAGGUGCAUAUCAGCUACUUUGAAUUUUUCAGCUGCCUUCAUUUCAUAGAUUCUUUUAAAGAUAUAGAUGCUUCUUCAGCAAAGAGAUGUACGAGGAAAAUGACAGACAUUGUUGAAGCCAAGUUUAAAGAAGUGAUGACUUCAUUCGAGGCCAUAAAAUAGUAAAGAAAUAACCAAAAUUUGUAAUUGUCAAACUCUUCCUAUUCAUCCCAGGAUCGGAAAGGAUGUGAGGUAUUCCAAGUAAUUAAUAAAGUUCAUUUAAUUUUCAUCCAGC
Long non-coding RNA from Lathyrus oleraceus (garden pea), 696 nucleotides. RefSeq lists it as uncharacterized. Lineage: Eukaryota; Viridiplantae; Streptophyta; Magnoliopsida; Fabales; Fabaceae. The record is from RefSeq and is a predicted model, not a curated record. The transcript is spliced from 3 exons.